Molecule: ribosomal RNA, 433 nt
Filed under: uncultured bacterium
Lineage: Bacteria
Description: partial 16S ribosomal RNA
Rfam family: Bacterial small subunit ribosomal RNA
Source: RNAcentral
AACGAACGCUGGCGGCAUGCCUAACACAUGCAAGUCGAACGAGACCUUCGGGUCUAGUGGCGCACGGGUGCGUAACGCGUGGGAACCUGCCCUUAGGUUCGGAAUAACUCCCCGAAAGGGGUGCUAAUACCGGAUAAUGUCUUCGGACCAAAGAUUUAUCGCCUUUGGAUGGGCCCGCGUUGGAUUAGCUAGUUGGUAGGGUAAAAGCCUACCAAGGCGACGAUCCAUAGCUGGCCUGAGAGGAUGAUCAGCCACACUGGGACUGAGACACGGCCCAGACUCCUACGGGAGGCAGCAGUGGGUAAUAUUGGACAAUGGGCGAAAGCCUGAUCCAGCAAUGCCGCGUGAGUGAUGAAGGCCUUAGGGUUGUAAAGCUCUUUUACCCGGGAUGAUAAUGACAGUACCGGGAGAAUAAGCUCCGGCUAACUCCGUG